GGCCUUAACCCAUGCAAGUCGAACGGGCGAGGCACGUUAACAUCUUGUCUCUGUUGCGUGAUGCGCGCAGUGGCGGUACAGUAUGACUAAUGUCUGGGAAACUGCCCGAUGGACGGGGAUAACUACUGAAUGCGGUAACUAAUACCGCCCAACGUCACAAGACCAGAGUGCGGGACACUCUGGCCUCACUCCUUCGGAUGUGCCCAAAUGGCAUUAUCUAGUAGGUGGGGUAAUGGCUCGCCUAGACCACUAUCCCUAGCUGGUCUGAGAUGAUGACCACCCACACUGGAACUGAGACACGAUCCAUACUCCUACGGGAGGCGGCAGAUGGGUAAUAUUGGACAAUGGGCGCGAUCCUGAUGCGCCCAUGCCGCGUGUAUGAAGAAGGCCUUCGGGUUGUAUUGUACUUUCAACGAGGAGGAAGGCGGUGAGGUUAAUAACCUUGGCAAUUGACGUUACUCAGCAGAAGAAGCACCGGCUAACUCCGUGCCAGCAGCCGCGGUAAUACGGAGGGUGCAAGCGUUAAUCGGAAUUACUGGGCGUAAAGCGCACGCAGGCGGUCUGUUAAGAUCAGAUGUGAAAUCCCCGAGCUUAACCAGGUGAACUGCAUUUGAAACUGGCUAGGCUUGAGUCUCAGAAGAGGGANGGUAGAAUUCCAGGUGUAGCGGUGAAAUGCAUAGAUGAUCUGAAGGAAUACCGGUGGCGAAAGGCNGUCCGCCCUGAACGAAGACUGACACUCACGAGCGAAAGCGUAGGGAACAAACAGGAUUACAUAGCCCUGGGUAAUCCACGCCAUAAAACGAUGUCAGACUUGUGAGGUUGUGCGCAUUGNAGGACGUGGCCUUCCGCNAAACUCAAAGCGUUAAGAUCGACCUGCCUGGGGAGUACGGCCGCAAGGUUAAAACUCAAAUGAAUUGACGGGGGCCCGCACAAGCGGUGGAGCAUGUGGUUUAAUUCGAUGCAACGCGAAGAACCUUACCUGGCCUUGACAUCCAGAGAACUUAGCAGAGAUGGUUUGGUGCCUUCGGGAAUUUUGAGACAGGUGCUGCAUGGCUGUCGUCAGCUCGUGUUGUGAAAUGUUGGGUUAAGUCCCGCAACGAGCGCAACCCUUAUCCUUUGUUGCCAGCGGUUCGGCCGGGAACUCAAAGGAGACUGCCGGUGAUAAACCGGAGGAAGGUGGGGAUGACGUCAAGUCAUCAUGGCCCUUACGGCCAGGGCUACACACGUGCUACAAUGGCGCAUACAAAGAGAAGCGACCUCGCGAGAGCAAGCGGACCUCAUAAAGUGCGUCGUAGUCCGGAUUGGAGUCUGCAACUCGACUCCAUGAAGUCGGAAUCGCUAGUAAUCGUAGAUCAGAAUGCUACGGUGAAUACGUUCCCGGGCCUUGUACACACCGCCCGUCACACCAUGGGAGUGGGUGCCAAAAGAAGUAGGUAGCUUAACGUUCGGGAGGGCGCUUAACCCAC
This 1466-nucleotide ribosomal RNA is filed under the name Pantoea dispersa. RNAcentral's name for it is "bacterial SSU rRNA". It matches the Rfam family "Bacterial small subunit ribosomal RNA". Lineage: Bacteria; Pseudomonadati; Pseudomonadota; Gammaproteobacteria; Enterobacterales; Erwiniaceae. The record is from RNAcentral.